Molecule: ribosomal RNA, 713 nt
Filed under: uncultured bacterium
Lineage: Bacteria
Description: bacterial SSU rRNA
Rfam family: Bacterial small subunit ribosomal RNA
Source: RNAcentral
GAGUGGCGAACGGNUGANUAACGCGUGAGGAACCUGCCUCAAAGAGGGGGACAACNGUUGGAAACGACUGCUAAUACCGCAUAAGCCCACGGUGCCGCAUGGUACAGAGGGAAAAGGAGCAAUCCGCUUUGAGAUGGCCUCGCGUCCGAUUAGCUAGUUGGUGAGGUAACGGCCCACCANGGCGACGAUCGGUAGCCGGACUGAGAGGUUGAACGGCCACAUUGGGACUGAGACACGGCCCAGACUCCUACGGGAGGCAGCAGUGGGGAAUAUUGCACAAUGGGGGAAACCCUGAUGCAGCGACGCCGCGUGGAGGAAGAAGGUCUUCGGAUUGUAAACUCCUGUUGUUGGGGAAGAUAAUGACGGUACCCAACAAGGAAGUGACGGCUAACUACGUGCCAGCAGCUGCGGUAAAACGUANGUCCCAAGCGUUGUCCGGAAUUACUGGGUGUAAAGGGAGCGCAGGCGGGAAGACAAGUUGGAAGUGAAAUCUAUGGGCUCAACCCAUAAACUGCUUUCNAAACUGUUUUUCUUGAGUAGUGCANAGGUAGGCGGAAUUCCCGGUGUAGCGGUGGAAUGCGUAGAUAUCGGGAGGAACACCAGUGGCGAAGGCGGCCUACUGGGCACCAACUGACGCUGAGGCUCGAAAGUGUGGUAGCAAACAGGAUUAGAUACCCUGGUAGUCCACACCGUAAACGAUGAUUACUAGGUGU